AUUGAACGCUGGCGGCAUGCCUUACACAUGCAAGUCGAACGGUAACAGCACUUCGGUGGCUGACGAGUGGCGAACGGGUGAGUAAUACAUCGGAACGUGCCCGAGAGUGGGGGAUAACGCAGCGAAAGCUGUGCUAAUACCGCAUACGAUCUACGGAUGAAAGCAGGGGACCGCAAGGCCUUGCGCUCAUGGAGCGGCCGAUGGCAGAUUAGGUAGUUGGUGGGAUAAAAGCUUACCAAGCCGACGAUCUGUAGCUGGUCUGAGAGGACGACCAACCACACUGGGACUGAGACACGGCCCAGACUCCUACGGGAGGCAGCAGUGGGGAAUUUUGGACAAUGGGCGAAAGCCUGAUCCAGCCAUGCCGCGUGCAGGAUGAAGGCCUUCGGUUGUAAACUGCUUUGUACGGAACGAAAGGUCUUUCUAAUAAGAAGGCUCAUGACGGUACCGUAAGAAUAAGCACCGGCUAACUACGUGCCAGCAGCCG
RNAcentral lists this ribosomal RNA (487 nucleotides) under uncultured bacterium. RNAcentral describes it as "bacterial SSU rRNA". It matches the Rfam family "Bacterial small subunit ribosomal RNA", at positions 30 to 517 of the family's 1533-position model. The record is from RNAcentral.